This 497-nucleotide ribosomal RNA is filed under the name uncultured bacterium. RNAcentral describes it as "partial 16S ribosomal RNA". It matches the Rfam family "Bacterial small subunit ribosomal RNA", at positions 28 to 507 of the family's 1533-position model. The record is from RNAcentral.
GAUGAACGCUGGCGGCGUGCCUAAUACAUGCAAGUCGAGCGAACAGACGAGGAGCUUGCUCCUCUGACGUUAGCGGCGGACGGGUGAGUAACACGUGGAUAACCUACCUAUAAGACUGGGAUAACUUCGGGAAACCGGAGCUAAUACCGGAUAAUAUAUUGAACCGCAUGGUUCAAUAGUGAAAGACGGUUUUGCUGUCACUUAUAGAUGGAUCCGCGCCGCAUUAGCUAGUUGGUAAGGUAACGGCUUACCAAGGCGACGAUGCGUAGCCGACCUGAGAGGGUGAUCGGCCACACUGGAACUGAGACACGGUCCAGACUCCUACGGGAGGCAGCAGUAGGGAAUCUUCCGCAAUGGGCGAAAGCCUGACGGAGCAACGCCGCGUGAGUGAUGAAGGUCUUCGGAUCGUAAAACUCUGUUAUUAGGGAAGAAAAAAUGUGUAAGUAAAUAUGCACGUCUUGACGGUACCUAAUCAGAAAGCCACGGCUAACUACGUG